CCUACGGGAGGCAGCAGUGGGGAAUAUUGCACAAUGGGGGAAACCCUGAUGCAGCGACGCCGCGUGAGUGAAGAAGUAAUUCGGUAUGUAAAGCCCUAUCAGCAGGGAAGAAAAUGAUGGUACGUGAGUAAGAAGCCCUGGCUAACUACGUGCCAGCAGCUGCGGUAAUACGUAGGGGGCAAGCGUUAAACGGAUUUACUGGGUGUAAAGGGAGCGUAGACGGGAGUGCAAGUCUGGAGUGAAAGGCGGGGGCUCAACCCCCGGACUGCUCUGGAAACUGGACGGCUGGAGUGCAGGAGAGGUAAGCGGAAUUCGUAGUGUAGCGGUGAAAUGCGUAGAUAUUAGGAAGAACACCAGUGGCGAAGGCAGCUUACUGGACUGUAACUGACGUUGAGGCUCGAAAGCGUGGGGAGCAAACAGGAUUAGAUACCCGAGUAGUC
RNAcentral lists this ribosomal RNA (440 nucleotides) under uncultured bacterium. Its description in RNAcentral is "partial 16S ribosomal RNA". It matches the Rfam family "Bacterial small subunit ribosomal RNA", at positions 338 to 795 of the family's 1533-position model. The record is from RNAcentral.